Molecule: RNA transcript, 1779 nt
Organism: Nicotiana attenuata
Lineage: Eukaryota; Viridiplantae; Streptophyta; Magnoliopsida; Solanales; Solanaceae
Gene name: serine/arginine-rich-splicing factor SR34-like
Exons: 15
Source: RefSeq, a predicted model, not a curated record
AAUAUCGCUUCACUGUAUCCCACCCUCCUUUAUUCCUUAAAACCCUAAUCUUCAAACAAUUCUCGCUUCUACGCUGUGGAUUGUGACUUAGUCUGCUCUCGAUCUUCCAAGGGACAAUGAGUCGAUCGAGUAGGACACUUUAUGUUGGCAAUCUUCCGGGCGAUAUUCGUGAGCGUGAAGUGGAAGAUCUGUUUUACAAGUACGGCCCAAUAGCACAUAUUGAGCUGAAAAUUCCACCAAGACCCCCUGGUUAUGCUUUUGUUGAGUUUGAAGAAGUUCGUGAUGCUGAAGAUGCUAUUCGUGGUCGUGAUGGCUAUGAUUUUGAUGGGCACCGUCUGAGGGUUGAGCUUGCACAUGGCGGUCGUGGUCAGUCGUCAAACGAUCGUUAUGGUGGUGGUGGUCGUGGUCAACGUGGUGGAGUGUCCAGACGUUCUGAUUAUCGAGUGAAAAUUACAGGAUUACCCCAUUCAGCGUCGUGGCAGGAUCUCAAGGAUCACAUGCGUCGAGCUGGGGAUGUUUGUUUCUCCCAAGUUUUCCGUGAACGGAGGGGGACUACUGGUAUUGUGGAUUAUACAAACUACGAUGACAUGAAAUAUGCUAUCAAAAAGCUUGAUGACUCUGAGUUUCGGAAUGCCUUUUCUCGUUCAACAAUUCGGGUUAAGGAAUAUGAUCACAGCCACAGCCGCAGCCGCAGCCGCAGCCGUUCUUACUCCAGAGGAAAGAGUGGUAGUAGAAGCCGUAGCCGAAGUAGAAGUGUCAGUCGUAGCAGGAGCAAAAGCAAAUCUCCUAAAGUUAAAUCUUCAAGGCGCUCAAGAUCUCGUUCAAGGUCCGUCUCUUCUCGGUCCCGUUCUGGGUCAAAAGGACGUUCUAUCCCAAGAUGUUGGAUAUAUGCGGCAGUUUGUGGAUUUGCAUAUUAGGAUCUUGAGUGGAUAUGCAUAUGGUCUUGCCUGCAACUCUUUUUGGUUGUGGAGAUUGGGAUCAUGAAGAUCAUGGAUUCUGUGGUGGAGCUGGACUGGGCAACUAACUGCCACCUGAAUUUGGAUCACCACCUAUUUGUGGUAGAUGCAUUUUCUACCAAAGUGAAGAAAGACUCUAGUUCAUUCUUUUCAUAUCCUGCUUAUUGGUCUCUUUGACUGCACAAAUUUAAACUAUUACUUAAGUCUUAACUGGGUAAAUUGCAUUGCUUCAUACAUGUCAUAUUUUCCACUCUGGAUUCUGCCCACAAUGCUACUUUGAUAAUGGUCAUGCUGAUGUGGAAGUGGAAUCGAGGCAGUUGGAGGAAUUGUUAAGUGGCAGGACUGGGAUAUUAAAUUAAGUUGUUUCUGGAAAUUUUGCAGAUCUCCAUCAAGGUCCAGAUCGCCAGCACCAUCUCGCCCAAAACGUUUGAGUAAAAGUCCAAAAAGACGCAGUCCCAGCCAAAGCCAGAGCAGGAGCCGGAGUCGUAGUCUGAGUAGAGGUUUAUCCAGUUAAGAUUGUUGGAGUCAUCUUUUGACUUGGGUUGCUGUGAUUGCGAGUGCCAUCAUGCCUGGAAGAUUAGCUGCAUAGUCAACAGUUGGGGAGUCUUAAGUGCCCGAAAGUUUGUUCUGCUUACAGUAAAGGAUUUCUGUAUUAUUGAAAGGCUGACGAUAAUAAUUGUUAUACUGAACUUGGUAUCUCUAAGACUUGGUAAAGACUGCAAUAUUAUAGUAGAACUUAAUAGGCUUUCUAGCUGCGUGAUGGUAAGAGAUGGAACGAAUUUCCUUUUUACAUUCACAUUAUGCAUUUCCUUGAUUUGCAGAU